UGCUUGAUGUUGCUUGUUGUCUGAAAAUGGUGUUGGACAUUUUGGAUCAAGGAAUAUAGAGUUUUGAGUUUGAGCAGUGAAAGUGGUCAACGUUGGCUGCGGAUUGGUCAAAAGAAUCAAACAUGCACGUUUUUGCUUUGGAUUUUGUUAUUUUGGUAAACCAUCUAUGGGGGUUAUGAUAAUGAAGUUUGGUGGUUAAGCAACUACGAAAAGGUUUCAGUUCACACUUACGGAGAAGAAUAAACUUGUGUUUCCGGCAUGUGAAACUGAAUAAACUAGUGUUUGACACUUCUAAUGAGAUUAGUAUUUUACAAGUUGUGGAUUAAACCAAGUCUUGUUCU
This 341-nucleotide long non-coding RNA is filed under the name Rosa chinensis. Its description in RNAcentral is "sRNA RchiOBHm_Chr6g0296561". The record is from RNAcentral. Lineage: Eukaryota; Viridiplantae; Streptophyta; Magnoliopsida; Rosales; Rosaceae.